RNAcentral lists this ribosomal RNA (197 nucleotides) under uncultured bacterium. RNAcentral describes it as "partial 16S ribosomal RNA". It matches the Rfam family "Bacterial small subunit ribosomal RNA", at positions 328 to 539 of the family's 1533-position model. The record is from RNAcentral.
ACGCUCGACACCUACGGAGGCAGCAGUGGGGAAUAUUGCACAAUGGGGGAAACCCUGAUGCAGCGACGCCGCGUGAGCGAAGAAGUAUUUCGGUAUGUAAAGCUCUAUCAGCAGGGAAGAAGAAAGACGGUACCUGACUAAGAAGCCCCGGCUAACUACGUGCCAGCAGCCGUGUAAUCUGAGCGGGCUGGCAAGGC